AAAAAUGAUUUACAUCUUCGGCCUCUGCGAAUAAGUAUAUGGCCAAUUAGUCAAGAAAAGAUAAAUAAAAAUACUCGAGGCUAUGGGACAAAUCCUCAUCUCCCAACCGAUGAUAUAUCAAGCUGAAAUACCGAAAGAAAACACGUAGAAUCUAUAACGAAUGAUGCACCUAUAUGCUAUGCCUGUAUUCAUGUUUCUGCAGGUAAUUUUUGUUUGUUAAAUUCUAUUUUUGUUCCUGAAGAAAUCAUGUGUUCUGAACUUCUGAUAGGUUGCUGUUGCGAAGGUGGAGCCUGAUCUCUAAUACAGCAUGACACUUUCUACCUUAUUGCAUCUCAUGGAUUAAUUCUCACAGUGUUGGAAAGAAGGGGUUUUCAUUUUCAUUAUUCAGUUUUAUUUGCCCUGUCUUUAAUCUAUUUUGCUUAUCUAGUUGUGCUAUUUGAAAAGUAUAAAGGUUGUUUGGAUGUUUACUUAUCAGUUGGUGGUUACAGAAUAGUAUAUUCAGUUUUUGAGUCUGUUAGUCUCAUAAUUGUCUAUUUAUACAGGUAAAAUUUGCUACUUAGAAGACAUUGAUGAUGUUAAUUUUUUAGAUUAUUCUUUAGAAACAACAUUUAUAUUUAUUACUCUAUAUUUGUGUGCACAAGGCCUAACUGUUUUAUAUGUAUAAAGACUGAAGAUAAUAUGGAGUUUGAUAUGAUUGGUGUUGAUGCAUCGAUAACUAAUGCCUUAUGAAGAAUCCUCGUACCAGAGGUAUGCGCAUGUUGCCAUCUGUACCAUACUACCAUCUUGAAAACUGUUUGUUGCGUUCUAAUGAGUCAUGUAUUUGGUGGUUCCAUUCCAAUACAUGUACUUCAUUAUUUUAAAUUACAAUGUUCCUACAACGGAAAAUUGAGAAAGUCCUCAUGGUUGACAACACAUCAGUUACACCAGAUGAAGUUAUUCUACACAGGCUUGGUUUGAUUCCACUGGAUGCAAAUGGAUCCUUUUUAUUAUAUCUCAGGUCAAUAACUUAAAAUUUUCUAAUUCCACAUUCAUAUAUUUGAUUGCUAUGUAUGAAUACUUGUGUAUGAAUAAUAGCUGUAUUAUUCUUUCGUUGGGUUCUGUAGAGAACGAUGCCUCAUUAUUGUGUACAAACUGCGUGUUUCAUGUUAGAAAGGCCCCCAGCUUACAGUUAUCUUCGCUGUCCUGCAACCUAACCCUUUCACAGUUUCCAAUCAUCUUAUUUCUAAGUACGAAUUUCCUCCCUUCCAAUUUGAAUUGUGCAAAACUGCAAAAGUGAUUUAUUUCUAAAUAUUCUUCUCCAGGUUAUUCUUUGGAGUCAUUUUUAUUCACUGCUUUUUAACUUUUAAGACUAAAUGCCAUGUUUUUCUCAUUUUUACUAAAUAAGCAUCAAGUUUACAAAUUUAUCUUGAAAUUGUGGACCUUAUUUUUAUGGGAGACAAUUUGCACCUGCCAGCUGCAACUGGAUAGAUUAAACAACCUGAUUUGAUGCUGUUAGUGACCUUCAAACCACCAUCUCCUUUAAGCGAGGAUGAUCCAAUUAUCUGUUUGAAACAUCACAUUCUGUGCUACGAGACUUACAUAAGAAGAAAACUGUGUUAUGUUUCACAAAUUGUGGAUCCUUAGUCUUUAGAUAUGCGGUUAAUGGGUAAAUCCCCACAUUGACGACAUUUCAUAUUAUUAUCUGAAUAUACAGCAUAAAUCAGCUAAGGCACCAACCUUUUCUUCCAUCUUAAAAAAUUCUUAAUAAAAGCCAAAACUAUUUGGAAUCAUUUAAAAAUAUUUUGAUGCCACAUCAAUCAGAUUUACUCUGUUCAGAAUAAUUUACAAAGAAAAAAGUGAGGGUAAAUCCUUGGCAGCAAAGCAUGUGCCUAAUGCUACUAUGUACCAAUAUAAUAUUUUGUGUACCAAAAACUCAAACUAUCUAAACAAAUUUCUUAACUGAUUUUCUGAUACCAUCAUCAUUCAUGCACGCUGAAUCAAACAGUGGAUCCUUAGUUAUUGGUACUUCAGCUUAUUCAUGCCAAUUCUGUUAUCAUUGUUCUACUUGGAAAGCUUUGAUGGCUAGACUUCUUGUUAUCUCUUCUUUUUUUUUUGCGAAGUUGUUCUCUUAUGCUAAUCAAUCAUGUAAGAAAUUAAAUUGCUAAAACCUAAGACUUAUAUCAAUGAUAAAUUAAGUAUUCUAUUCUUUGUGCCCUUAUCGUUAUUAUAAUCCUGUCAUAUUUCCUGUAAGGUUGACUGAUAUUUUCUACUGAGGUGUGGUUAGCAGAAAAUAGCCAAUUAAAUAUGUCAUCUCCUGCUCAAUCUGGGAACAAGCAAAAGACCUACACUUCCUUCGGCCAAAGCAAGAAGGAUAUCUCAAAAAGGAUGGUGUGAAAUUUAACGAUAUAACUAUUAUGAGGUUUGGACCUGGCCAAGCUUACUAUUUGGAUUAUGGCGCUUUGCUGAGUCCACAUGGUAUAAUAAAGAUUUCAACGCAGUCAUUUCCUGGAAUCCUGAUGCUAUUGAACUUGAGGCAUAUGCUGUUAAGGGAAUGAGGAAAGUUCAUUCUAAGUGGUCUCCAGUUGCUACUACAGCCUGGUACAGAAUUUCCCUGAGAAUGAUAGGUGUUCAGAACUUCAGAUCUUCUUUUACAAAGCUCUGCUAAAAUAUCAAGGUGCUAACACUGGUGUGUGUUGCUGUGGCUUUAGCCUUCUGACUCAUGCUCCCUCCGUUUCGCAAUGGGAAAAGAUAUCAAUUGUUGCUAAGCCAAGAGGCACACACUCUUUGCAGGGAAUGCGUUAUUAUGGGACCAUCUGGGGAACAAGUAGGACUAAAGCGCGUUAGAGACCACUUCAUCUUUGAGAUAAGCUGAGUCCACUGGAGAAGUGCAAAGAGGAUGAUAUCUGAACGGUCAUGAGUCAUGGUAGACCAGCACAACUAGCGUCUCUGUAUCGCUCUGAAACAAAAGCUCGACACUGGAUUUGACCUCCCAGUUUACCAAUCACAUCAUUUGCAACUAUAGUUUUACCUCCUGGCUCCUGUACUUGGGCCUUCACUCCUGUUGCACAUCCAGGAAAUUUCGAGCCGCUGCAGCCUCCAUCACCGAAUGGCCAUAUAUGGGGCGAUAAUUGAUUUACCAGAAAGUUCAGCUUCGAGAACUCUCCGACUUGUGUUGCAUUGACUGUCUAAUACAUCAAAGAAAUGUAGAAUUGGGAGCAAUUUUGUGUUUUUAUGUUAGUAACAUGUAUAUGAAAUUCUCACGGAAAAUGACUUAAUUAGACAUACAAGUUUAUAUUAAUUAAUACCAGCAAUUAUAUAUAUUACUCCCUCCAUCUCAAAAUAGGUUCAUUUUUCACUCAUCUCACAUAUCGAUAAAAAAUAAAAGACUAGAAUAUCUCUAUUUUAUUAAAUCCUUAUACAAUUAUUCUUCAUUUUAUCUACUCCUAAUGCAUUUAACCUCUACUUUGAUUGCUGAAAAAUAAACUUAUUUUGGGAUAAAUGGAAGGAAUCAUUGGAUUUAAAAAUAAAUGCCUAAGAUUUAUCCAUGUCACCAAAAGUAAAAAUUUUACUAAUUUUUUACUCUUUGUUGAAUAUGUAAGUAAAUUUUUUUACUAUUGAUGACAUGAACAAAUCUUAAAAGUUUAUUUUUUAUCCAACGGUAGUUUUUUAAGUUUUCACUGUAUGUAUGAUUUUCACUACAUAUUUUCCCUAUAUAUACUCCCCCAUUCUCAAAUAAUUGAAGUUCAAAUUCCCUAUAUAUACUUCUGCUUGAAAAUAUGCUACUAUAUUAUUAAGGUGUGUCUGGAGUCAUAAAUUUGACUAUAUAAAUCAUAAUAUAAUCAAUAAAAGGUAAUUUAUAGUCAAAGUAAGAUGGGGAGAGUGAACGAAGUCAGAUAUUUGAGAAUGGAGAGAGGAGCCAAAUUAUUAAUUACUACCCCGUAAAUAAAUACUACAGUUAUCUUUUUAACUAUGAACCUGAUAAACUGUCUAGAAAGAUAUUUUUUUAGCAUGAAGGUAGUAAAUGAUAAGGCCUCAUUUUGGAACUGAGGAAACUUACGAGAAUUUUAAAGGAAAUGAACUAGUUCCUAUGGAAUUUUUUUUUAAGAAAACAUGUAUAUCAGAGGAGUCCUAAAUUAGUUACAGCAGUAACUAUUGUAUCCACUAUGUGAUUCCCCGCGCUUUACUGUAGGAAAUUACUAAGCAAUUCUCAAAAAAAAAAAA
Molecule: non-coding RNA, 4200 nt
Organism: Oryza sativa Japonica Group (Japanese rice)
Lineage: Eukaryota; Viridiplantae; Streptophyta; Magnoliopsida; Poales; Poaceae
Source: RefSeq, a predicted model, not a curated record